UAGUCAUAUGCUUGUCUCAAAGAUUAAGCCAUGCAUGUCUAAGUAUAAGCAUUAUACGGUGAAACUGCGAAUGGCUCAUUAAAUCAGUUAUCGUUUAUUUGAUAGUGCCUUUUCUACAUGGAUAACCGUGGAAAAUCUAGAGCUAAUACAUGCGACAACCCCCGACUUUUGAAGGGGCGUAUUUAUUAGAUAAAAAACCAAUGCCCUCGGGCCUUUUGGUGAUUCAUGAUAACUCGUCGAAGCUCAUGGCCUUGUGCUGGAGCUGGUUCAUUCAAAUU
This 278-nucleotide ribosomal RNA is filed under the name uncultured eukaryote. RNAcentral describes it as "partial 18S ribosomal RNA". It matches the Rfam family "Eukaryotic small subunit ribosomal RNA", at positions 21 to 305 of the family's 1831-position model. The record is from RNAcentral.